RNAcentral lists this ribosomal RNA (402 nucleotides) under uncultured prokaryote. RNAcentral describes it as "bacterial SSU rRNA". It matches the Rfam family "Archaeal small subunit ribosomal RNA", at positions 322 to 725 of the family's 1478-position model. The record is from RNAcentral.
CCUAGGGUGGCUGCAGGCGCGAAAACUUUACAAUGCGGGAAACCGCGAUAAGGGGAUACCGAGUGCCAGCAUCCUAUGUUGGCUGUCCAUAUGUAUAAAUCACAUGUGUUAGCAAGGGCCGGGCAAGACCGGUACCAGCCGCCGCGGUAACACCGGCGGCCCGAGUGGUGGCCACUAUUAUUGGGUCUAAAGGGUCCGUAGCCGGUUUGGUCAGUCUUCCGGGAAAUCUGACGGCUUAACCGUUAGGCUUUCGGGGGAUACUACCAGGCUUGGGACCGGGAGAGGUAAGAGGUACUACGGGGGUAGGAGUGAAAUCUUGUAAUCCCUGUGGGACCACCAGUGGCGAAGGCGUCUUACCAGAACGGGUCCGACGGUGAGGGACGAAAGCUGGGGGCACGAACC